UACGUAGGGGGCAAGCGUUAUCCGGAUUUACUGGGUGUAAAGGGAGCGUAGACGGCGAAGAAAGUCUGAAGUGAAAGCCCGCGGCUCAACCGCGGAAUGGCUUUGGAAACUUUUUUGCUGGAGUACCGGAGAGGUAAGCGGAAUUCCUAGUGUAGCGGUGAAAUGCGUAGAUAUUAGGAGGAACACCAGUGGCGAAGGCGGCUUACUGGACCGAAACUGACGUUGAGGCUCGAAAGCGUGGGGAGCAAACAGG
RNAcentral lists this ribosomal RNA (253 nucleotides) under uncultured bacterium. Its description in RNAcentral is "partial 16S ribosomal RNA". It matches the Rfam family "Bacterial small subunit ribosomal RNA", at positions 524 to 776 of the family's 1533-position model. The record is from RNAcentral.